Molecule: ribosomal RNA, 534 nt
Filed under: Neotyphodium sp. EF7
Lineage: Eukaryota; Fungi; Ascomycota; Sordariomycetes; Hypocreales; Clavicipitaceae
Description: eukaryotic LSU rRNA
Rfam family: 5.8S ribosomal RNA (bases 184-337)
Source: RNAcentral
AGGGAUCAUUACGGAGUUUGCGCUCCCAAACCCCUGUGGACUUAUACCUUUACUGUUGCCUCGGCGGGCACGGCUGCGGGCGCUCCCUCGCGGGGGCGCCGGGGCCAGGCGCCCGCCGGAGGACCCAAACUCUUCUGUAUUUUCUUGCGCAUGUCUGAGUGGAUUUACUGUCAAAUGAAUCAAAACUUUCAACAACGGAUCUCUUGGUUCUGGCAUCGAUGAAGAACGCAGCGAAAUGCGAUAAGUAAUGUGAAUUGCAGAAUUCAGUGAAUCAUCGAAUCUUUGAACGCACAUUGCGCCCGCCAGUAUUCUGGCGGGCAUGCCUGUUCGAGCGUCAUUUCAACCCUCAAGCCCUCUGCGUGCUUGGUGUUGGGGGCCGGCCCGCCCGCCUCGCGGUGGCGGCCGCCCCCGAAAUGAAUCGGCGGUCUCGUCGCAGCCUCCUUUGCGUAGUAACAUACCACCUCGCAACCGGGAGCGCGGCGCGGCCACUGCCGUAAAACGCCCAACUUCUCCAAGAGUUGACCUCGAAUCAGG